ACUCCUACGGGAGGCAGCAGUGGGGAAUAUUGCACAAUGGGGAAACCCUGAUGCAGCCAUGCCGCGUGUGUGAAGAAGGCCUUCGGUUGUAAAGCACUUUCAGUAGGGAGGAAGGUAGUGUAGUUAAUACCUGCACUAUUUGACGUUACCUACAGAAGAAGCACCGGCUAACUCCGUGCCAGCAGCCGCGGUAAUACGGAGGGGUGCGAGCGUUAAUCGGAAUUACUGGGCGUAAAGCGCAUGCAGGCGGCCUGUUAAGUCAGAUGUGAAAGCCCGGGGGCUUAACCUCGGAAUUGCAUUUGAAACUGGCAGGCUAGAGUCUUGUAGAGGGGGUAGAAUUUCAGGUGUAGCGGUGAAAUGCGUAGAGAUCUGAAGGAAUACCAGUGGCGAAGGCGGCCCCCUGGACAAAGACUGACGCUCAGAUGCGAAAGCGUGGGGAGCAAACAGGAUUAGAUACCCUGGUAGCACAGAG
Molecule: ribosomal RNA, 472 nt
Filed under: uncultured bacterium
Lineage: Bacteria
Description: bacterial SSU rRNA
Rfam family: Bacterial small subunit ribosomal RNA
Source: RNAcentral